RNAcentral lists this ribosomal RNA (424 nucleotides) under uncultured prokaryote. RNAcentral describes it as "bacterial SSU rRNA". It matches the Rfam family "Bacterial small subunit ribosomal RNA", at positions 355 to 796 of the family's 1533-position model. The record is from RNAcentral.
UGGGGAAUAUUGGACAAUGGGCGAAAGCCUGAUCCAGCCAUGCCGCGUGAGUGAUGACGGCCCUAGGGUUGUAAAGCUCUUUCACCGGUGAAGAUAAUGACGGUAACCGGAGAAGAAGCCCCGGCUAACUUCGUGCCAGCAGCCGCGGUAAUACGAAGGGGGCUAGCGUUGUUCGGAAUAACUGGGCGUAAAGCGCGCGUAGGCGGAUUGUCUAGUCAGGGGUGAAAUCCCGGGGCUCAACCCCGGAACUGCCUUUGAUACUGGCAAUCUCGAGUCCGAGAGAGGUGAGUGGAAUUCCGAGUGUAGAGGUGAAAUUCGUAGAUAUUCGGAGGAACACCAGUGGCGAAGGCGGCUCACUGGCUCGGUACUGACGCUGAGGUGCGAAAGUGUGGGGAGCAAACAGGAUUAGAUACCCCCGUAGUCC